This 1540-nucleotide ribosomal RNA is filed under the name Staphylococcus aureus VET0284R. RNAcentral's name for it is "16S ribosomal RNA". It matches the Rfam family "Bacterial small subunit ribosomal RNA". Lineage: Bacteria; Bacillati; Bacillota; Bacilli; Caryophanales; Staphylococcaceae. The record is from RNAcentral.
AGAGUUUGAUCCUGGCUCAGGAUGAACGCUGGCGGCGUGCCUAAUACAUGCAAGUCGAGCGAACGGACGAGAAGCUUGCUUCUCUGAUGUUAGCGGCGGACGGGUGAGUAACACGUGGAUAACCUACCUAUAAGACUGGGAUAACUUCGGGAAACCGGAGCUAAUACCGGAUAAUAUUUUGAACCGCAUGGUUCAAAAGUGAAAGACGGUCUUGCUGUCACUUAUAGAUGGAUCCGCGCUGCAUUAGCUAGUUGGUAAGGUAACGGCUUACCAAGGCAACGAUGCAUAGCCGACCUGAGAGGGUGAUCGGCCACACUGGAACUGAGACACGGUCCAGACUCCUACGGGAGGCAGCAGUAGGGAAUCUUCCGCAAUGGGCGAAAGCCUGACGGAGCAACGCCGCGUGAGUGAUGAAGGUCUUCGGAUCGUAAAACUCUGUUAUUAGGGAAGAACAUAUGUGUAAGUAACUGUGCACAUCUUGACGGUACCUAAUCAGAAAGCCACGGCUAACUACGUGCCAGCAGCCGCGGUAAUACGUAGGUGGCAAGCGUUAUCCGGAAUUAUUGGGCGUAAAGCGCGCGUAGGCGGUUUUUUAAGUCUGAUGUGAAAGCCCACGGCUCAACCGUGGAGGGUCAUUGGAAACUGGAAAACUUGAGUGCAGAAGAGGAAAGUGGAAUUCCAUGUGUAGCGGUGAAAUGCGCAGAGAUAUGGAGGAACACCAGUGGCGAAGGCGACUUUCUGGUCUGUAACUGACGCUGAUGUGCGAAAGCGUGGGGAUCAAACAGGAUUAGAUACCCUGGUAGUCCACGCCGUAAACGAUGAGUGCUAAGUGUUAGGGGGUUUCCGCCCCUUAGUGCUGCAGCUAACGCAUUAAGCACUCCGCCUGGGGAGUACGACCGCAAGGUUGAAACUCAAAGGAAUUGACGGGGACCCGCACAAGCGGUGGAGCAUGUGGUUUAAUUCGAAGCAACGCGAAGAACCUUACCAAAUCUUGACAUCCUUUGACAACUCUAGAGAUAGAGCCUUCCCCUUCGGGGGACAAAGUGACAGGUGGUGCAUGGUUGUCGUCAGCUCGUGUCGUGAGAUGUUGGGUUAAGUCCCGCAACGAGCGCAACCCUUAAGCUUAGUUGCCAUCAUUAAGUUGGGCAUUCUAAGUUGACUGCCGGUGACAAACCGGAGGAAGGUGGGGAUGACGUCAAAUCAUCAUGCCCCUUAUGAUUUGGGCUACACACGUGCUACAAUGGACAAUACAAAGGGCAGCGAAACCGCGAGGUCAAGCAAAUCCCAUAAAGUUGUUCUCAGUUCGGAUUGUAGUCUGCAACUCGACUACAUGAAGCUGGAAUCGCUAGUAAUCGUAGAUCAGCAUGCUACGGUGAAUACGUUCCCGGGUCUUGUACACACCGCCCGUCACACCACGAGAGUUUGUAACACCCGAAGCCGGUGGAGUAACCUUUUAGGAGCUAGCCGUCGAAGGUGGGACAAAUGAUUGGGGUGAAGUCGUAACAAGGUAGCCGUAUCGGAAGGUGCGGCUGGAUCACCU